This 387-nucleotide ribosomal RNA is filed under the name Amazonian soil bacterium M52. RNAcentral's name for it is "partial 16S ribosomal RNA". The record is from RNAcentral.
AGCGCACUACCUUCGGGGUAAAACCAACUCCCAUGAGUGUGACUGGCGGUGUGUACNAGGCCCGGGAACGUAUUCACCGCGGCAAGCUGAUCCGCGAUUACUAUCNAACCNACUUCAUNCANUCGAGUUNCACAGUGCAAUCCGAACUGAGAUGGCUUUGGGAGAUUAGCUCACACUCGCGUGCUCGCUGCCCANUGUCACCACCAUUGUANCNCNUGUGUNNCCCACCCCGUGGGGGCCAUGANGACUUGACGUCNUCCCCACCUUCCUCUCGGCUUAUCACCGGCAGUCCCCUAAUUANUGCCCAACUANAUGCUGGCAACUAAGNGGCGAGGGUUGCGCUCNUUGCGGGGACUUAACCCAACAUCUCACNACCGAGCUGACAAA